CCUACGGGUAGCUGCAGUGGGGAAUAUUGCACAAUGGGGGGAACCCUGAUGCAGCGACGCCGCGUGGGUGAAGGAGUAUUUCGGUAUGUAAAGCCCUAUCAGCAGGGAAGAACAAUGACGGUACCUGACUAAGAAGCACCGGCUAAAUACGUGCCAGCAGCCGCGGUAAUACGUAUGGUGCAAGCGUUAUCCGGAUUUACUGGGUGUAAAGGGAGCGCAGGCGGCGCGUUAAGCCUGGUGUGAAAGCCCGCGGCCCAACCGCGGGACUGCAUUGGGAACUGGCGCGCUGGAGUGCCGGAGGGGUAGGCGGAAUUCCUAGUGUAGCGGUGAAAUGCGUAGAUAUUAGGAGGAACACCAGUGGCGAAGGCAGCAUACCGGCGGCGAUCUGACGCUGAGGCACGAAAGCGUGGGUAUCGAACAGGAUUAGAUACCCCAGUAGUC
Molecule: ribosomal RNA, 441 nt
Filed under: uncultured bacterium
Lineage: Bacteria
Description: partial 16S ribosomal RNA
Rfam family: Bacterial small subunit ribosomal RNA
Source: RNAcentral